CAUUACCGAGUUUACAACUCCCAAACCCCUGUGAACAUACCUUAUUGUUGCCUCGGCGGAUCAGCCCGCUCCCCGUAAAACGGGACGGCCCGCCAGAGGACCCAAACUCUAUUGUAUUUAGUGUAUCUUCUGAGUAACACAAACAAAUAAAUCAAAACUUUCAACAACGGAUCUCUUGGUUCUGGCAUCGAUGAAGAACGCAGCAAAAUGCGAUAAGUAAUGUGAAUUGCAGAAUUCAGUGAAUCAUCGAAUCUUUGAACGCACAUUGCGCCCGCCAGUAUUCUGGCGGGCAUGCCUGUUCGAGCGUCAUUUCAACCCUCAAACCCCCGGGUUUGGUGUUGGGGAUCGGAUUGCUAGUCAAUCCGUCUCCGAAAUCUAGUGGCGGUCUCGCUGCAGCCUCCAUUGCGUAGUAGCUAACACCUCGCAACUGGAACGCGGCGCGGCCAUGCCGUUAAACACCCAACUUCUGAAUGUUGACCUCGGAUCAGGUAGGAAUACCCGCUGAACUUAAGCAUAU
RNAcentral lists this ribosomal RNA (517 nucleotides) under Aschersonia sp. AQGS20. RNAcentral's name for it is "eukaryotic LSU rRNA". The stretch from base 156 to 309 matches the Rfam family "5.8S ribosomal RNA". Lineage: Eukaryota; Fungi; Ascomycota; Sordariomycetes; Hypocreales; Clavicipitaceae. The record is from RNAcentral.